RNAcentral lists this ribosomal RNA (400 nucleotides) under uncultured bacterium. RNAcentral describes it as "bacterial SSU rRNA". It matches the Rfam family "Bacterial small subunit ribosomal RNA", at positions 359 to 776 of the family's 1533-position model. The record is from RNAcentral.
GAAUAUUGCACAAUGGGCGAAAGCCUGAUGCAGCAACGCCGCGUGAGUGAUGAAGGCCUUCGGGUUGUAAAGCUCUGUCUUUUGGGACGAUAAUGACGGUACCAAAGGAGGAAGCCACGGCUAACUACGUGCCAGCAGCCGCGGUAAUACGUAGGUGGCAAGCGUUGUCCGGAUUUACUGGGCGUAAAGGAUGCGUAGGUGGAUAUUUAAGUGGGAUGUGAAAUACCCGGGCUCAACUUGGGUGCUGCAUUCCAAACUGGAUAUCUAGAGUGCAGGAGAGGUAAGUGGAAUUCCUAGUGUAGCGGUGAAAUGCGUAGAGAUUAGGAAGAACACCAGUGGCGAAGGCGACUUACAGGACUGUAACUGACACUGAGGCAUGAAAGCGUGGGGAGCAAACAGG